RNAcentral lists this long non-coding RNA (621 nucleotides) under Homo sapiens (human). Its description in RNAcentral is "non-protein coding LINC01093:4". The record is from RNAcentral. Lineage: Eukaryota; Metazoa; Chordata; Mammalia; Primates; Hominidae.
AAUGCAAUUCUGGGAAUGUUCAGGCUCUCUCUGUUCUUUCCUCUCUUGCAAACCAUGGGCACCCUUGGGUCCCUUGGGGUCACUAUGUUACACCUGCUUUUUAUCUGUCUGGGCAAGAGCUGCUCAAGCCACACCUUGUGACACUGAGAUCAGCUAUGAAAAUACCCAGCCGGCCUGCAGCCCUCCCGGCAGAUGCUGAAAAGGAAACCCGACUGGGAGAUGCCGCCCACCCUUAUCCCCAGAGAGCUGCGUUGUUUCCUCUUGCCUUGGCCUUUGGAUCCGGCCAUAGCAAGCAUCCCUGGGCACCUGGCUGAAGCUGGAAACUCGGGAUAAGAAUGGAAGCCCUGGAAGGGAAGAAGAACCGAGGAGUGAGCUUGCCCUGAGGACAGCACAUUGCACUCUCACCUCCUUUGCAGUUAAGUGUGAAAUAGUGCCAAUAGAGUGUAAAAGAAAAGAAAGAAGAUGAUUCACCUCCCAAAGAUUCCCCACUGCUGUGUCCCUUCUAUCAACUUGAUACAAAAAAACACAAUGGCCCCGGGAACCACGUGUUGAAGAUGAGAGAGCUAAAAGAUGGAAAGAGACUGGAGCCCUGAGUCACCACCUGGAGGAAAACUACCCACC